Molecule: long non-coding RNA, 631 nt
Filed under: Cicer arietinum (chickpea)
Lineage: Eukaryota; Viridiplantae; Streptophyta; Magnoliopsida; Fabales; Fabaceae
Description: long non-coding RNA (CARI_LNC002888)
Source: RNAcentral
UUAUCUUGUCUCAUGAUCACUAUAAAUAGUUAUGAAAUGUAUGUUUUUAUAUAUAUUUCACAACAAUGAUGAAAAUCAAGACUUUUAUUUUGUACUUGUUCUGUACAUUGCUUCUUAUCUCUGCUGUGAAAACCGAGACAACUGAAGAUGGUAAACAAUUAAUAUAUAAAUAAUUACCAUACAUUAAAGUACAAUUUAAUUUCAUAAAUUAAAAUUAUUUAUGAAUUUAUUUACAGGUUAUGCAACUCCAAAAGAAGAAUCAAAGACAAACGUUGAGUUAGAUGGGUUUGCACAUUGGAAAGGUGGAGGUGCAAUCUGGCAAACCCCCUCUACUGGAGGAAAUAAUGUGGUGCCAUUAUUUGGAUAGAUGUCUUUGCAAAUAUUAAAAACUAUAUGCAUCCAUAUGCUCAUGCAUCUAAUCAUGUUAAGAAUCAUAAAUAAAGUAUAGACCAAUAAUUAAUAAUCAUAAUAUUGUUCUUAUAUUUAUGUACUUACCAUACCAUGAACUAUAAUCAUAGUAACUCAUCUUGUUCAGAUUUUGAGUGUCCCGUAUGAAUCACUAAUCUAGUGUUAUAUAUAUAUAUAUAUAUAAAGUAAAAAUCUGUUUUAUAACAAUGAAUUUCAUAAGCUA